Molecule: ribosomal RNA, 253 nt
Filed under: uncultured bacterium
Lineage: Bacteria
Description: partial 16S ribosomal RNA
Rfam family: Bacterial small subunit ribosomal RNA
Source: RNAcentral
UACGGAGGGGACUAGCGUUGUUCGGAAUUACUGGGCGUAAAGCGCACGUAGGCGGAUUUGUAAGUCAGGGGUGAAAUCCCGGGGCUCAACCUCGGAACUGCCUUUGAUACUGUCGAUCUGGAGUAUGGAAGAGGUGAGUGGAAUUCCGAGUGUAGAGGUGAAAUUCGUAGAUAUUCGGAGGAACACCAGUGGCGAAGGCGGCUCACUGGUCCAUUACUGACGCUGAGGUGCGAAAGCGUGGGGAGCAAACAGG